UACAGAGGUCUCAAGCGUUGUUCGGAUUCAUUGGGCGUAAAGCGCGUGUAGGCGGCUUGGCAAGUCGGGUGUGAAAGCCCUCAGCUCAACUGAGGAAGUGCGCCCGAAACUGCUAGGCUUGAGUGCCAAAGAGGAUGGUGGAAUUCCCGAAGUAGAGGUGAAAUUCGUAGAUAUCGGGAGGAACACCGGUGGCGAAGGCGACCAUCUGGUUGGUAACUGACGCUGAGACGCGAAAGCGUGGGUAGCAAACAGG
Molecule: ribosomal RNA, 253 nt
Filed under: uncultured bacterium
Lineage: Bacteria
Description: partial 16S ribosomal RNA
Rfam family: Bacterial small subunit ribosomal RNA
Source: RNAcentral